RNAcentral lists this ribosomal RNA (261 nucleotides) under uncultured archaeon. RNAcentral describes it as "partial 16S ribosomal RNA". It matches the Rfam family "Archaeal small subunit ribosomal RNA", at positions 748 to 1008 of the family's 1478-position model. The record is from RNAcentral.
CAGCCGUAAACAAUGCGCGUUAGGUGUGUCGGUAACCACGCGUUACUGAUGCGCCGAAGAGAAAUCGUGAAACGCACCACCUGGGAAGUACGGUCGCAAGGCUGAAACUUAAAGGAAUUGGCGGGGGAGCACCACAACAGGUGGAGCCUGCGGUUUAAUUGGAUUCAACGCCGGACAUCUCACCGGAUAAGACAGCUGAAUGAUUGUCAAUCUGAAGGUUUUACAUGACUAGCUGAGAGGUGGUGCAUGGCGUCAGUGACU